AUACGGAGGGUGCGAGCGUUAAUCGGAAUUACUGGGCGUAAAGCGCGCGUAGGCGGCAUGGUAAGUCGGAUGUGAAAGCCCCGGGCUCAACCUGGGAAUUGCAUUCGAUACUGCCAAGCUAGAGUCUGGUAGAGGGUAGCGGAAUUCCGGGUGUAGCGGUGAAAUGCGUAGAUAUCCGGAGGAACACCAGUGGCGAAGGCGGCUUUCUGGACCAAUACUGACGCUGAGGUGCGAAAGCGUGGGGAGCAAACAGGAUUAGAUACCCCGGUAGUCC
Molecule: ribosomal RNA, 274 nt
Filed under: uncultured bacterium
Lineage: Bacteria
Description: partial 16S ribosomal RNA
Rfam family: Bacterial small subunit ribosomal RNA
Source: RNAcentral